This is a long non-coding RNA of Pongo pygmaeus (Bornean orangutan), 564 nucleotides long. RefSeq lists it as uncharacterized. NCBI's taxonomy places the organism in Eukaryota, Metazoa, Chordata, Mammalia, Primates, Hominidae. The record is from RefSeq and is a predicted model, not a curated record. The transcript has 3 exons.
AAGGGAGAGAUGGCGUGGAUGGCCGAGCAGCUCUGACCAGUUGAACAUGUGCUGGCACCUGCUGGAAUGUGGAGCUCCUAAACAGCCGAAAGGGCAAGAAGCUUUCUGCAACUUCCAGCUUAAACAAAACCAGUAUCUUCUGCAAGUCUCCUAUGUACCAGAACCCAUCUGAAAAUAGAAAUCCUAGUCCUCGGGAAGCCUAUGUGCUAACAGAAGAGGGAUAAACAAGGAGAAAGAUCGUCCUGCAUUCAAUAGAUCCCUACAAGGACAAUGCAUGAUUGCUACUGUUCAAAAGCUCAUGGAUAUUCUCAGCCAAGUGCCGUCUUUGCCAGUGUGUUACAGAACAAAAUGCAAAUUCUGUGUCAUCAUAUCAUGGCCCAGGAAGCUCUAGCCUACCUCCCCAGUCUCAACUCAAUUUCCUCCUUCCAGCCUCCCACCUGUCAGUUCCAGAACAGGCCAAGCUGGAGCCCACAUCAGGGCUGCUACAUUGUCGUUCUCUGGCCAAGUGUGCGGCUGGCUUCAGGACAUGCUUCAAAUCUCGGCUAAACUGUCACCUCCUCAGAG